GACGAACGCUGGCGGCGUGCUUAACACAUGCAAGUCGAACGGAAAGGCCUUUUCGGAGGUACUCGAGUGGCGAACGGGUGAGUAACACGUGGGUGAUCUGCCCUGCACUCUGGGAUAAGCCUGGGAAACUGGGUCUAAUACCGGAUAGGACCGCACUUUAGUGUGUGUGGUGGAAAGUUUUUUCGGUGUAGGAUGAGCCCGCGGCCUAUCAGCUUGUUGGUGGGGUAAUGGCCUACCAAGGCGGCGACGGGUAGCCGGACUGAGAGGUUGGUCGGCCACAUUGGGACUGAGGUACGGCCCAGACUCCUACGGGAAGCAGCAGUGGGGAAAAUUGCACAAUGGGCGCAAGCCUGAUGCAGCGACGCCGCGUGGGGGAUGACGGCCUUCGGGUUGUAAACUCCUUUCGCCAGGGACGAAGCGUUUUGUGACGGUACCUGGAGAAGAAGCACCGGCUAACUACGUG
Molecule: ribosomal RNA, 463 nt
Filed under: uncultured bacterium
Lineage: Bacteria
Description: partial 16S ribosomal RNA
Rfam family: Bacterial small subunit ribosomal RNA
Source: RNAcentral